CAGCCGCCGCGGUAAUACGUAGGGUGCGAGCGUUAAUCGGAAUUACUGGGCGUAAAGCGUGCGCAGGCGGUUAUGCAAGACAGAUGUGAAAUCCCCGGGCUUAACCUGGGAACUGCAUUUGUGACUGCAUGGCUAGAGUGCGGCAGAGGGGGAUGGAAUUCCGCGUGUAGCAGUGAAAUGCGUAGAUAUGCGGAGGAACACCGAUGGCGAAGGCAAUCCCCUGGGCCUGCACUGACGCUCAUGCACGAAGGCGUGGGGAGCAAACAGGAUUAGAUACCCCUGUAGUCCCUGUCUCUUAUAC
Molecule: ribosomal RNA, 301 nt
Filed under: uncultured bacterium
Lineage: Bacteria
Description: partial 16S ribosomal RNA
Rfam family: Bacterial small subunit ribosomal RNA
Source: RNAcentral